AUGCUUUCACAACUUGACUUCAAAAUAUUUGGUUUGGAGACUAUCAAAGAUCAAUAUGUGCAUGAUGCUGAUUUUAAAGAUGUAAUGCAGAAUUGUAAAGAAGGAAGAAUGUGGAACAAGUUUGUUGUUAACGAUGGAUUUGUGUUUCGUGCUAACAAGCUAUGCAUUCCAGCUAGCUCCGUUCGUCUUUUGUUGUUGCAGGAGGCGCAUGGAGGAGGAUUAAUGGGACACUUUGGCGUGAAGAAGACGGAGGACGUACUUGCUACACAUUUCUUUUGGCCAAAGAUGAGACGGGAUGUUGAGCGGGCUGUUUUGAAGAAUAAUAAGAAAAUGUGGGAGGAAUGCUUGCCUCAUAUUGAAUUUGCUUAUAAUCGUUCAUUGCAUUCUACUACUAAGAUGUGCCCUUUUGAAGUUGCGUAUGGUUUCCUACCUCGUGCACCUAUUGAUUUGUUGCCUCUUCCAUCUUCGGAGAAGGUUAAUUUUGAUGCUAAACAACGUGCUGAAUUGAUUUUAAAAAUGCAUGAGUUAACUAAGGAAAACAUUGUGCGCAUGAAUGCUAAAUAUAAACUUGCUGGAGAUAAGGGUAGAAAACAUGUUGUGUUUGCACCUGGAGAUCUUGUUUGGUUACAUUUGCGUAAGGAUAGAUUUCCUGAUUUGCGCAAAUCAAAGCUAAUGCCACGUGCUGAUGGUCCCUUUAAGGUGUUAGAGAAAAUAAAUGAUAAUGCAUAUAAACUUGAGCUGCCUGCAGAUUUUGGGGUUAGUCCCACUUUUAACAUUGCAGAUUUGAAGCCUUAUUUGGGUGAGGAAGAUGAACUUCCGUCGAGGACGACUUCAUUUCAAGAAGGGGAGGAUGAUGAGGACAUCAAUACAAUUGUUACACCCACAGCCCCUGCUGCUAUACAUACUGGACCAAUUACUAGAGCUCGUGCACGCCAACUAAAUUACCAGGAAACAAACCCUCGUGGUCAGGUUGAUCGUGCUCCGGCGUGGUCAAUAACCUCUCGGAGUUGGUUUAGCGAUUGCUAA
Molecule: ribosomal RNA, 1026 nt
Filed under: Triticum aestivum (bread wheat)
Lineage: Eukaryota; Viridiplantae; Streptophyta; Magnoliopsida; Poales; Poaceae
Description: partial small subunit ribosomal RNA
Source: RNAcentral